AUUGAACGCUGGCGGCAGGCCUAACACAUGCACGUCGAACGAGUGGCGGACGGGUUAGUAAUGUCUGGGAAACUGCCCGAUGGAGGGGGAUAACUACUGGAAACGGUAGCUAAUACCGCAAACCAUCGGAUGUGCCCAGAUGGGGUUAGCUAGUAGGUGGGGGAAAGGCUUACCUAGGCGACGAUCCCUAUCUGGUCUGAGAGGAUGACCAGCCACACGGGAACGGAGACACGGGCCAGACUCCUACGGGAGGCAGCAGUGUGGAAUAUUGCACAAUGGGCGCAAGCCUGUUGCAGCCAUGCCGCGUGUAUGAAGAAGGCCUUCGGGUUGUAAAGUACUUUCAGCGAGGAGGCGUUACUCGCAGAAGAAGCACCGGCUAACUCCGUGCCAGCAGCCGCGGUAAUAC
This 406-nucleotide ribosomal RNA is filed under the name uncultured bacterium. RNAcentral describes it as "partial 16S ribosomal RNA". It matches the Rfam family "Bacterial small subunit ribosomal RNA", at positions 30 to 526 of the family's 1533-position model. The record is from RNAcentral.